This 433-nucleotide ribosomal RNA is filed under the name uncultured bacterium. RNAcentral describes it as "partial 16S ribosomal RNA". It matches the Rfam family "Bacterial small subunit ribosomal RNA", at positions 29 to 507 of the family's 1533-position model. The record is from RNAcentral.
AGCGAACGCUGGCGGCAGGCCUAACACAUGCAAGUCGAACGGACCCUUCGGGGUUAGUGGCGGACGGGUGAGUAACACGUGGGAACGUGCCUUUAGGUUCGGAAUAGCUCCUGGAAACGGGUGGUAAUGCCGAAUGUGCCCUUCGGGGGAAAGAUUUAUCGCCUUUGGAGCGGCCCGCGUCUGAUUAGCUAGUUGGUGAGGUAACGGCUCACCAAGGCGACGAUCAGUAGCUGGUCUGAGAGGAUGACCAGCCACACUGGGACUGAGACACGGCCCAGACUCCUACGGGAAGCAGCAGUGGGGAAUCUUGCGCAAUGGGCGAAAGCCUGACGCAGCCAUGCCGCGUGAAUGAUGAAGGUCUUAGGAUUGUAAAAUUCUUUCACCGGGGACGAUAAUGACGGUACCCGGAGAAGAAGCCCCGGCUAACUUCGUG